AGACCUGACCAAUCUCUGAUGCCAGCCAAUGUAUGAUGCUGCUUCACUCCCUCUGUGGCUCCUGGGAGUCUGCUGGUAGACAGUUUUUCCAGAUUUGCACUAUCUUUAAUGUAAAUAUUGGGCCAAAGAAAUGCUAAACAAGUGGUCAAAAAUAAACUAUUCUGUUUCAGGUUUUUGUUGUUUGUUUCCCCCUAAGCAAGUUUCUGAAGUAAGUAAAGCCACAUGAACCUUUCAGAGAAAAAGAAUGUCUUUCUUCUUCCAAAUCAGAUUUUGCUUAUGACAGAACUGGGAAAUGGUGCUGCGAUUGCCCCAUCCUUUCUCCUUUACCUCUCAGGCAACUGGGUUUCUCUGCACUAAUUCUUCCUUGAACACAAGCAUACCCUUCAGGGGAAGAAAUUACUUUGACCAACUGUUUGACUUACUCCAGAAGAGACUGGUUUCACAUCUGAAACUGUCAAGGUUGAAUCGGCAGACCAUGAAGUCUAUUAAGCCAUGCCCUGUGUAGGAGCUGCCAGGGCACAGCAGCAGCAGUGAAGGCUGUGGGGGCUCCGUGAGGGGAGGCCGGGGCUGCCCCAGCCGGACACAGCCAGUUCCAGCCGGACACAGCCGGAUCCAGCCGGACACAGCCAGUUCCAGCCGGACACAGCCGGAUCCAGCCGGACACAGCCAGUUCCAGCCGGACACAGCCGGUUCCAGCCGGACACAGCCGGAUCCAGCCGGACACAGCCGGAUUCAGCCGGAUCCAGCCGCGCACUGCAGGGCUGAGCCACGGCCAGGUGGGCACUGUAUGGAAACAUAGGCUUGACCACGCGCGGGCUAGGAGAUAGAUGCCACUCCAGCCACCGUGGCAGCCACGUGAGAAUAAACUUUCUCCAGCCACGCAGGACAAGACAAAGCACAGAGCCUAGCCGGGCUCCCCAGCCACCCGAGAUGGGAGAGAAGAACACAAUGCCGCACCCUGCAGCCUGAGGAGAGGAUCACAAGGAUCACAACAGAGCAGAUGCCAUCCGUGGACAAUCCGUGGAGAACCUCUCUGCUGGAGCAAAUGCAUUGCAAUGGACUGCUCAGAGAAGUGGUGGAGUGACCAUCCCAGAAGGGGCUCAAAAAUGGACUGGAUGUGGCACUUAGUGCUAUGGUCUCAUUGACGAGGUCGAUGUCAGAGGAAAAAGAUAUGAUUUGCUCAGAAGCUGAGACACAGAUACAGAUAACUAGAUGUAGAAACUUGAAAAGUUUGUCACAGCUUUCUGCUUCAGUAUGGUAUUCAUCUUGUCAGCCCUUCCAUUUUAUUUAUUUUGAAAAAAUAAACUUCACUUUAAUACAUCAA
Long non-coding RNA from Vidua macroura (Pin-tailed whydah), 1324 nucleotides. RefSeq lists it as uncharacterized. The transcript is spliced from 6 exons. Lineage: Eukaryota; Metazoa; Chordata; Aves; Passeriformes; Viduidae. The record is from RefSeq and is a predicted model, not a curated record.